This 72-nucleotide transfer RNA is filed under the name Bos taurus (domestic cattle). It matches the Rfam family "tRNA". Rfam says of the family: Transfer RNA (tRNA) molecules are approximately 80 nucleotides in length. The record is from Rfam by way of RNAcentral. Lineage: Eukaryota; Metazoa; Chordata; Mammalia; Artiodactyla; Bovidae. RNAcentral also lists the same sequence under 3 other names.
UCCCUGGUGGUUCAGCUGGUAAAGAAUCUGCCUGCAAUGCGGGAGACCUGGGUUCGAUCCCUGGCCUGGGAA